This 1527-nucleotide ribosomal RNA is filed under the name Planctomycetaceae bacterium. Its description in RNAcentral is "bacterial SSU rRNA". It matches the Rfam family "Bacterial small subunit ribosomal RNA". The record is from RNAcentral. Lineage: Bacteria; Pseudomonadati; Planctomycetota; Planctomycetia; Planctomycetales; Planctomycetaceae.
AUGAAGAAUUUGAUCCUGGUUCAGAAUGAACGUUGGCGGCGUGGAUGAGGCAUGCAAGUCGAACGGGUGUAGCAAUACAUCCGUGGCGGAAGGGUGAGUAAUAUAUGGUUAACCUGCCCUCAAGCGGGGGACAACACUUGGAAACGAGUGCUAAUACCGCAUAAGACCACAGUGGGGCAUCCCACAGGGGUCAAAGCCUUCGGGCACUUGAGGAGGGGGCCAUAACGUAUCAGCUAGUUGGUGAGGUAACGGCUCACCAAGGCAACGACGCGUAGCCGGUCUGAGAGGAUGGUCGGCCACACUGGGACUGAGACACUGCCCAGACUCCUACGGGAGGCUGCAGUCGAGAAUCAUUGUCAAUGGGCGAAAGCCUGAACGUGCGACGCCGCGUGUGGGAUGAAGGCCUUCGGGUUGUAAACCACUGUCAGGGGGAAGGAAUAAGCGUGUAACCCACGCGAUGACUUAUACCCCAGAGGAAGUGACGGCUAACUACGUGCCAGCAGCUGCGGUAAUACGUAGGUCACGAACGUUAUUCGGAAUCACUGGGCUUAAAGGGCGCGUAGGCGGCUUCGUAAGUUAUGGUUGAAAUCCGGCGGCUCACCCGUCGAACUGGCCAUAAGACUGCGGAGCUUGAGGUGCGGAGGGAUGCGUGGAACUUGUGGUGGAGCGGUGAAAUGCCCAGAUAUCACAGGGAACACCGGUGGCGAAGGCGACGCAUUGGCCGCAAUCUGACGCUGAGGCGCGAAAGCAUGGGGAGCGAACGGGAUUAGAUACCCCGGUAGUCCAUGCCGUAAACGAUGUGCACUAGGGAGAGGGCGGGUCCUAACUCGCUCCCUCCCCAAGCAAAAGCGUUAAGUGCACCGCCUGGGGAGUAUGCUCGCAAGGGUAAAACUCAAAGGAAUUGACGGGGGCUCACACAAGCGGUGGAGCAUGUGGUUCAAUUCGAAGCAACGCGAAGAACCUUACCAGGCCUAGACAUCAGGAUGUAACCGGCAGAAACGUCGGCCAACUCGCAAGAGAAAUCCUGUGCAGGUGUUGCAUGGCUGUCGUCAGCUCGUGUCGUGAGAUGUCGGGUUAAGUCCCAUAACGAGCGAAACCCCUGCCGUUAGUUGCUAACAGGUCAUGCUGAGCACUCUAGCGGGACUGCCUCGUAAGACGGAGGAAGGUGGGGACGACGUCAAGUCAUCAUGGCCCUUACGGCCUGGGCUACACACGUGCUACAAUGGGUGGUACAAAGAGAUCCGAAACGGCGACGUCAAGGAAAUCCCAGAAAGCCACCCCCAGUACGGAUUGAAGGCUGCAACUCGCCUUCAUGAAGCCGGAAUCGCUAGUAAUCGCGGGUCAGCCAUACCGCGGUGAAUAUGUUCCUGAGCCUUGUACACACCGCCCGUCAAGCCAUGAGAGCCGGUUCUAUCUAAAGCCGUUAGCCCAACCGUAAGGGGGGCGGCGCCUAGGGUAGGGUCGGUGAUCGGGGCUAAGUCGUAACAAGGUAGCAGUAGGGGAACCUGCGGCUGGAUCACCUCCUUU